Molecule: ribosomal RNA, 483 nt
Filed under: uncultured bacterium
Lineage: Bacteria
Description: partial 16S ribosomal RNA
Rfam family: Bacterial small subunit ribosomal RNA
Source: RNAcentral
GAUGAACGCUAGCGGCAGGCUUAAUACAUGCAAGUCGAGGGGUCAGCAAUGACACCGGCGGACGGGUGCGUAACGCGUAUGCAACCUACCUACAUCAGGGGGAUAGCCCUAGGAAACUGGGAUUAACACCGCAUAAUAGUAUUGAUGGCAUCAUUGAUAUUUGAAAUAUUUAUAGGAUGUAGAUGGGCAUGCGUAAGAUUAGCUAGUUGGUAAGGUAACGGCUUACCAAGGCUACGAUCUUUAGGGGCUCUGAGAGGAGUAUCCCCCACACUGGCACUGAGAUACGGGCCAGACUCCUACGGGAGGCAGCAGUAGGGAAUAUUGGGCAAUGGAGGCAACUCUGACCCAGCCAUGCCGCGUGCAGGAAGGCGGCCCUCUGGGUCGUAAACUGCUUUUGAAUGGGAAGAAUGUGAUGUUUGCGAGCAUUAAUGACGGUACCAUUAGAAUAAGCCACGGCUAACUACGUGCCAGCCGCCGCGGUAA